Molecule: long non-coding RNA, 244 nt
Filed under: Oryza brachyantha (malo sina)
Lineage: Eukaryota; Viridiplantae; Streptophyta; Magnoliopsida; Poales; Poaceae
Description: long non-coding RNA (OBRA_LNC002975)
Source: RNAcentral
UGAAGGCCUUAAUUUAAUCUUGCUGAAGCUCUCGCAUUCCUGUUUGUAUACGUAUGGAUGUUCAAUAGUUUUAGACAUGGGAGGUGUCAGGAUAAAAUACGUUGGCGUGCUAGUCGAGACUGGACAUGAGCUGAUGAGCAUGUAAUCGACAAACUUUUGUUCUUGAUGUGUGUGGUGAGUCCUCGAUCUGGGUUGACUAAGAAAUUAUUCUUGGUGCAAGACUAACGUUAUGAUUUUGUGAAGU